RNAcentral lists this unclassified non-coding RNA (292 nucleotides) under Hevea brasiliensis (rubber tree). The record is from RNAcentral. Lineage: Eukaryota; Viridiplantae; Streptophyta; Magnoliopsida; Malpighiales; Euphorbiaceae.
AAUUGAUGCUGUGAAUUUAGCUUUUGCAUUUGAACUUACAGAGCAGUUCUCUCCGGUGCCAUUGCUGAAGUCCUAUCUAAAGGAGGCAAAGAAAGUGUCUUCACCAGUCAAACCUGGAAAUGCAUCCCAUACUGCACAGAAUGAUGUUAGUGACAGAGAGCUGACCGCCCUUAAGGCCGUAAUCAAGUGCAUUGAAGAGCACAAGCUUGAAGAGCAAUAUCCUGUCGACCCUCUUCAGAAACGGGUCAUCCAACUCGAGAAAGCUAAGGCUGACAAGAAACGGGUGACCGAG